This 214-nucleotide long non-coding RNA is filed under the name Carica papaya (papaya). RNAcentral describes it as "long non-coding RNA (CPAP_LNC016136)". The record is from RNAcentral. Lineage: Eukaryota; Viridiplantae; Streptophyta; Magnoliopsida; Brassicales; Caricaceae.
AACAACACACAAGCUGAGAGAGAAGGUCAGCUUGCUGAAAUUCCACAUGGUAAGAUUACUGCAUAUAAGGUGUUUGUGGAAAGUUCACAAACAAAGAAUUGGUCUAAAAAUCAGGUUAAGGUGAAAUUUUUUGUUCUGAAGGAUGAUUAUUUUCUUUGGAAUCCAUUGCUUUACUUCUCCAAGAGUAAUAGAACCUUCCAAAGUGAUGUUUAUA